CGUGCAUGGUUGUCGUCAGCUCGUGUCGUGAGAUGUUGGGUUAAGUCCCGCAACGAGCGCAACCCCUAUUGUUAGUUGCCAUCAUUCAGUUGGGCACUCUAGCGAGACUGCCGGUAAUAAACCGGAGGAAGGUGGGGAUGACGUCAAAUCAUCAUGCCCCUUAUGACCUGGGCUACACACGUGCUACAAUGGUUGGUACAACGAGUUGCGAGUCGGUGACGGCGAGCUAAUCUCUUAAAGCCAAUCUCAGUUCGGAUUGUAGGCUGCAACUCGCCUACAUGAAGUCGGAAUCGCUAGUAAUCGCGGAUCAGCACGCCGCGGUGAAUACGUUCCCGGGCCUU
Molecule: ribosomal RNA, 341 nt
Filed under: uncultured Streptococcus sp.
Lineage: Bacteria; Bacillati; Bacillota; Bacilli; Lactobacillales; Streptococcaceae
Description: bacterial SSU rRNA
Rfam family: Bacterial small subunit ribosomal RNA
Source: RNAcentral